UACGAAGGGGGCUAGCGUUGCUCGGAAUGACUGGGCGUAAAGGGCGCGUAGGCGGAUGGCACAGUCAGAUGUGAAGUUCCCGGGCUUAACCUGGGGGCUGCAUUUGAUACGUGUGAUCUAGAGUGAGGAAGAGGGUCGUGGAAUUCCCAGUGUAGAGGUGAAAUUCGGUAGAUAUUGGGAAGAACACCGGUGGCGAAGGCGGCGACCUGGUCCUUGACUGACGCUGGAGGCGACGAAAGGCGUGGGGAGCAAACAGG
This 257-nucleotide ribosomal RNA is filed under the name uncultured bacterium. Its description in RNAcentral is "partial 16S ribosomal RNA". It matches the Rfam family "Bacterial small subunit ribosomal RNA", at positions 524 to 776 of the family's 1533-position model. The record is from RNAcentral.